Molecule: ribosomal RNA, 253 nt
Filed under: uncultured bacterium
Lineage: Bacteria
Description: partial 16S ribosomal RNA
Rfam family: Bacterial small subunit ribosomal RNA
Source: RNAcentral
GACAGAGGGUGCAAACGUUGUUCGGAAUUACUGGGCGUAAAGCGCGUGUAGGCGGCAAGGCAAGUCGGAUGUGAAAGCCCGCGGCUCAACCGUGGAAGUGCACUCGAAACUGCCUAGCUAGAGUCUCGGAGAGGAAGGUGGAAUGCUUGGUGUAGAGGUGAAAUUCGUAGAUAUCCGGAGGAACACCGGUGGCGAAGGCGGCUUCCUGGACCGACACUGACGCUGAGGCGCGAAAGCUAGGGGAGCAAACGGG